UGGAGAGGUGGCCGAGUGGUUUAAGGCGCAGACCUGGAAAGUCUGUUAUGCAGAAAUGUAUACGAGGGUUCGAAUCCCUCCCUCUCCGU
Molecule: transfer RNA, 89 nt
Filed under: Cylindrospermum sp. NIES-4074
Lineage: Bacteria; Bacillati; Cyanobacteriota; Cyanophyceae; Nostocales; Nostocaceae
Description: tRNA-Ser
Rfam family: tRNA
About the family: Transfer RNA (tRNA) molecules are approximately 80 nucleotides in length. Their secondary structure includes four short double-helical elements and three loops (D, anti-codon, and T loops). Further hydrogen bonds mediate the characteristic L-shaped molecular structure. tRNAs have two regions of fundamental functional importance: the anti-codon, which is responsible for specific mRNA codon recognition, and the 3' end, to which the tRNAs corresponding amino acid is attached (by aminoacyl-tRNA synthetases). tRNAs cope with the degeneracy of the genetic code in two manners: having more than one tRNA (with a specific anti-codon) for a particular amino acid; and 'wobble' base-pairing, i.e. permitting non-standard base-pairing at the 3rd anti-codon position.
Source: RNAcentral